Molecule: long non-coding RNA, 688 nt
Organism: Vitis vinifera (wine grape)
Lineage: Eukaryota; Viridiplantae; Streptophyta; Magnoliopsida; Vitales; Vitaceae
Exons: 2
Source: RefSeq, a predicted model, not a curated record
AAUAGCAAACCCGUAAAAAAAUACUUGAAAACAAUGAAAUUCCAAGUUCCCAAAUGUCGUAAGUUGCAAGUAAAGAGCUGUUCGCCUGAGGAGGAAGGGAAAAAUGUUCGUCUGGCCUACGUAUUUCACUUUCAACUUUCGGUUCUUUUGAAUCCUCAAUUUUCACCGCUUCAUCUUCAUUCAUGAAGCCCUAACCCUAGACUGAGAUGUCAGUACCGACUCAGAAGCAAUCACGCAGCUAAAGAAAAAUACGAACCAUUAUAUGGCAGUGAUUUCAAUGGUGGACCGAGGAAGUAUUCUGGGUCAUUCAUCGUGGACGCAUGAAGAAUCGGGGUUAAACCACGAAGAUCCAGAAGAUCACUACGUGGAGACGAGUUCCAAGCUCCACCAACUGUGUACAGUCAUACUUUAAUUGUGAGAUGUUGAUUCCUGAAGGAGAAUGUUCUGUUGGAACUCAAGCUUUUGGAUACUUUUGGAUCUUCCUCACUGUUUUUCUGGGACCUAUUUCUCCGGAGGACAAUGAUAAUUAAGGUGCUAAUUGAAAGUACUGUCACUGCUGCCAGUAUGCUAAUGAUUAUUGCCCAUUUGUGCUUCGUUCCUGAUAAUGAAUGAAAAAAACAAGUCAACUGUUUCAAGAAAAUAUAUAGUGAUUUCAAUGAAAUUUCUAGAAUAUUUGCUUAUAAAACUA